GACAGAGGGGGCAAGCGUUGCUCGGAAUUACUGGGCGUAAAGGGCGCGUAGGCGGGAUGGCAAGUCGAGUGUGAAAUCCCACGGCUCAACCGUGGAAGUGCACUCGAAACUGCAGGGCUAGAGUCCUGGAGAGGAAGGUGGAAUGCUUGGUGUAGAGGUGAAAUUCGUAGAUAUCAAGCGGAACACCGGUGGCGAAGGCGGCCUUCUGGACAGUGACUGAUGCUGAGACGCGAAAGCGUGGGGAGCAAACAGG
RNAcentral lists this ribosomal RNA (253 nucleotides) under uncultured bacterium. RNAcentral's name for it is "partial 16S ribosomal RNA". It matches the Rfam family "Bacterial small subunit ribosomal RNA", at positions 524 to 776 of the family's 1533-position model. The record is from RNAcentral.